UACAGAGGGGGCAAGCGUUGUUCGGAAUUACUGGGCGUAAAGGGCGCGUAGGCGGCCUGUUAAGUCGAACGUGAAAUCCCCGGGCUCAACCCGGGAACUGCGUCCGAUACUGGCAGGCUUGAAUUCGGGAGAGGGAAGUGGAAUUCCAGGUGUAGCGGUGAAAUGCGUAGAUAUCUGGAGGAACACCGGUGGCGAAGGCGGCAUCCUGGACCGAUAUUGACGCUGAUGCGCGAAAGCCAGGGGAGCAAACGGG
RNAcentral lists this ribosomal RNA (253 nucleotides) under uncultured bacterium. RNAcentral describes it as "partial 16S ribosomal RNA". It matches the Rfam family "Bacterial small subunit ribosomal RNA", at positions 524 to 776 of the family's 1533-position model. The record is from RNAcentral.